Molecule: ribosomal RNA, 406 nt
Filed under: uncultured bacterium
Lineage: Bacteria
Description: partial 16S ribosomal RNA
Rfam family: Bacterial small subunit ribosomal RNA
Source: RNAcentral
AAUAUUGCGCAAUGGACGGAAGUCUGACGCAGCGACGCCGCGUGAGCGAUGAAGGCCUUCGGGUCGUAAAGUUCUGUCCUUGGGGAAGAAGGUCUUCGGACUUGACGGUACCCAAGCAGAAAGCCCCGGCUAACUACGUGCCAGCAGCCGCGGUAAUACGUAGGGGGCGAGCGUUGUCCGGAAUGACUGGGCGUAAAGGGUGCGUAUGCGGCCCGUUAAGUCAGAUGUGAAAGGCCACGGCUUAACCGUGGGAUUGCAUUUGAAACUGGAGGGCUUGAGAGUCGGAGAGGGUAGUGGAAUUCCCAGUGUAGCGGUGAAAUACGUAGAUAUUGGGAGGAACACCAGUGGCGAAGGCGACUACCUGGACGAUAACUGACGCUGAGGCACGAAAGCUAGGGGAGCAAAC